This 533-nucleotide ribosomal RNA is filed under the name Pichia kluyveri. RNAcentral's name for it is "partial large subunit ribosomal RNA". It matches the Rfam family "Eukaryotic large subunit ribosomal RNA", at positions 94 to 646 of the family's 3401-position model. The record is from RNAcentral. Lineage: Eukaryota; Fungi; Ascomycota; Pichiomycetes; Pichiales; Pichiaceae.
AAAGGAGGGGCGAGCUCGAUUUGAAAUCUCACCUAGUGUGCGAGUUGUAAAUUGCAGGUUGGAGUCUCGGGUUAGACGUGUGUGCAAGUCCCUUGGAACAGGGUGCCACUGAGGGUGAGAGCCCCGUAGCGUGCAUGUCGACACCUGUGAGGCCCUUCUGACGAGUCGAGUUGUUUGGGAAUGCAGCUCUAAGUGGGUGGUAAAUUCCAUCUAAGGCUAAAUAUUGGCGAGAGACCGAUAGCGAACAAGUACUGUGAAGGAAAGAUGAAAAGCACUUUGAAAAGAGAGUGAAACAGCACGUGAAAUUGUUGAAAGGGAAGGGUAUUGGGCUCGACAUGGGAUUUACGCAUCGGUGCCUCUCGGGGGCGGCGCUCUGGGUUUUUCCUGGGGCAGCAUCGGUUUUCGGUGCAGGAUAAGGACAAUUGGAAUGUGGCUCCUCGGAGUGUUAUAGCCUUUUGUAGAUGCUGCGUAUGGGGACCGAGGGCUGCGGCGGACUCGUUUCGUCUCGGAUGCUGGCACAACGGCGCAAUACC